This 77-nucleotide microRNA precursor is filed under the name Schistosoma mansoni. Its description in RNAcentral is "mir-3492 microRNA precursor family". It matches the Rfam family "mir-3492 microRNA precursor family". Lineage: Eukaryota; Metazoa; Platyhelminthes; Trematoda; Strigeidida; Schistosomatidae. The record is from Rfam by way of RNAcentral.
AGCUUGUGAAUCUGUGCUGAGAUUUCUUCAGACACCAGACCAUCAGUAUUGAUGUGACUCCCAAAAUAAGUGAGGCG